RNAcentral lists this ribosomal RNA (481 nucleotides) under uncultured bacterium. RNAcentral describes it as "partial 16S ribosomal RNA". It matches the Rfam family "Bacterial small subunit ribosomal RNA", at positions 30 to 506 of the family's 1533-position model. The record is from RNAcentral.
AUUGAACGCUGGCGGCAUGCCUUACACAUGCAAGUCGAACGGUAACGAGCCUUCGGGUGCCGACGAGUGGCGAACGGGUGAGUAAUACAUCGGAACGUGCCCGAUCGUGGGGGAUAACGAGGCGAAAGCUUUGCUAAUACCGCAUACGAUCUACGGAUGAAAGCAGGGGACCGCAAGGCCUUGCGCGGACGGAGCGGCCGAUGGCAGAUUAGGUAGUUGGUGGGAUAAAAGCUUACCAAGCCGACGAUCUGUAGCUGGUCUGAGAGGAUGAUCAGCCACACUGGGACUGAGACACGGCCCAGACUCCUACGGGAGGCAGCAGUGGGGAAUUUUGGACAAUGGGCGCAAGCCUGAUCCAGCCAUGCCGCGUGCAGGAUGAAGGCCUUCGGGUUGUAAACUGCUUUUGUACGGAACGAAAAGCCUUCUUUUAAUACAGGAGGGUCAUGACGGUACCGUAAGAAUAAGCACCGGCUAACUACGU